Balaenoptera acutorostrata (minke whale) is the source of this 970-nucleotide long non-coding RNA. RefSeq lists it as uncharacterized. Lineage: Eukaryota; Metazoa; Chordata; Mammalia; Artiodactyla; Balaenopteridae. The transcript is spliced from 3 exons. The record is from RefSeq and is a predicted model, not a curated record.
GGGGCAUUUUCCAUCCAGCGUGAACCAGGACUGUGGGGAGAGGGGGCUCCUGUUGAGAACAGACUCCUGGCUCGUGCACCUUCGUGUCACCUCCUGUCCUGGAAGCCCUUGGUUCAGGGGAAGCAAGCUGCCAUUUUGUGAGCUGUCCUGUGGAGAGGUCCACAUGGCAAGAAACUGAUGUCUCUGGCUCAUGGUUAUUGAGGACCUGAGGUCGGCCAACGACCAGGGAUGAAAUGCUAAGCACCGUGGUGAGAUCACAGCAGCCAGUCUACACGCUACCGCUUCAUCUCCUUUGUUCCAGCCAUUCAGUCCCAUCAGCCAGCAAACAGAUGUCCUCAAUCACAACUUUCUAAAUCUUAAUUCCAAACAAAUCUCCUCUUCCUGAGAUUUGAAUUUUAGUUCAAAUUGCAAUGGCCUUUUUAGGUUUAUUUUUCUAUUACAAACAAACUCCUAUAUUUUUGAAGUUAGACAGUUUGAAAGGUGCCUCUCGAUAAACAAGCCAACAAAUAGACCACCGUUAAGAAGAAACUUUUCUCAUGAGGAACAAGGAGGAGAUGUCUGUGGCAACUGGAAUGGGAUUGUCACAGCCCCCAGGAGUUACGGUGGAGGAAGGAAACACAUCUUAGAAUAGUAGGUGUAUCUUUGACAUAGCUGUAAGCUAUGCUGUGGUUUUACUAACAUGAUAGGUGAAAUACAAUUCAAUUAUAUAAGGCCCCCAAACAAAGAUUUAUUUAUAUUUAGCUUUGCCUUUGAAACCGCCCACUGCUCUGGCCUUUGUAAAAGGCAGACCUAACCUAUUUGUUUUCCACUUCCCCUCCUCAACCCUUAUUGAGACAAAUAAAUAAAAAUAAAACUGGUAAGCCAGAUCCAAAGGCUGGAUGUAGCUAUGAUUUAGACUUGGCCUUUGGAAGAGACAUUAGGAUUUUAAGGUCAUGAGGCAUCAGUUAGUACCAUGAGGCAAAUGUACUAG